CUUUUCAUAAACAGCUGAAGGAGCCACGGUGCGUCGCUGCUACAUGUACAUGGCAGAAACCCUGUUGUGCGUCUGCCCUAUUUCUCGUACCGUGGUGGCAGAAAUUUUCAUAGAGGAAACACUGCCUCGGGUUGCGCUUGGAGACUUCACAUUUUACCUGAAAGCCUGUGUUACGAAAAACAUUGACUUUUAACAGUCGGGGAGGAUCUAAUAAAAGAUGUGGUCGUGUUGCAUGAUGGGGAAAUGUGGGAUCAAGUGAUUAUACCCAUACUAGGGACUAGUAGUCAUGAUACCUCGGCCUCUGAUUCAUCAAUUGUGACGAUUUUGUCUUUUUAAUCUGCCCCUAGCAACGUUGGGGGACUUCACUAAAACACUAACUUGCUCCUCUAAAACUGCCAACACAAUCUGCUCUGUUAAUUUGUAUAGUUAUGUAUGUUUUUAUAUUGACUUUUUAUUUUAUUUUAAUAGAAGUCUGACCAAGACAUUGACUCCAUUUAAAACCGAGACUGUAUCUAAUAUAUCAAUAACUUAUACGGAACUGUUGGACAAUAAAUGUACUCUCAUUUAAAGACUGUAGGAAGAGUUGUAAGACAAAAGGUGGAUAUUGUCUAGGAAAGGUAAAGUCAAUUUGGCUUGUACUUUUAAAUUUCCUACUAAUGACAAAAUUCUUAGAUUGUUAAAGUGAUUAUGAAUCACGGUGGUGCUAGAGAGGCUUAGCAAACAUAACGGUGUGUUCAGUGUAUGUGGGUCCAACUCUGGUUAGGACAAAGAUUAGGCUCUAAUUGGCCUGCCAUGCUCAUUAACCAAUCGCCUCAGGCUGUCCAUCAUCCAUUUGUUUAUGCACACUCCUCAUUUUGUUUCUCAGAGACAAGAAUUGAUUGAUCCCUCAUCCGUGCAAGCCAAACCAACUCUGGAGGUUUAAUGAAAGCGCUCUAGGUGUUAACGUGACCCAGGCAGAGCUUUUUCUGUGCUCAUUGUUAAAGGACAAAACAGCAAUAUGAACAAUCAUACAGUAGUCGGUGUAGCAGCGAUGUGAAGCUCAGUAUCCAGGUGUCGGCUUGUAAAUCAUCUGUGUACAGUAAAUGACUGCUUCAUACGGAAGAGGAUUAGGGCCACGUGUGAAAAAUGUAUUUGAGUUCAAAAGUCAGAAUCCUGACAUUUUUUCUUCUGACUUUAAACUCGGAACUCAAAUACAUGUUUCCACACGUGGCCCUAAUUAACUUUACUUAAUCAGGGUCGUUUUGGAAACAGUUUGUCACCUUAAAUAUCCCCUUAUCAGAUUCUGUUCUGAAAAAUCUCUAUAUUUUUAAGCAAAAGGACUCAACUUUUUUGUAACCCAAAAUUAGCAUAUGCUUCCUUUUAUAGCAACCAAUUUAUAAGAGUUUUCAGAUGGAAUGAACGUAUUUUUUUCUGUUUUUUUCUACCCCUAUUUGAAUGCCACUCCAUAUUUGGUUUGAUGCCAUUUAAAUGUCUCUGGUUUGAGAAGUGUUACGCUUAACUUCUUAAAGUAUUUAUUUUAUUUACUGUAAGAAAACCUUUUCAAAGUCACUAUAUUGUACAUUUAAGAAGAUGUUUAGAGUUGAGUGUGUUUCAGUAUUUUUUGGUUGGAGGAAUAUUUAAAGUAUUAUUAUUGCCAUAUUGGAGAGAGGAUGGCGAUGGCAGACACGUGACUUUUCUUUCUGUCUUUUCUUGCUGUGACUUCAGUGCAGUUGGGUGUUUUCUAGGCUUUUCCCUGGUAGCUGUCGUGUGUCAUCUCCUGUGUCGCAGUGCAAGUGGAAGCAGCACAGAUAGCCUCUAUACCUGUUGUAGCACUGUGUUGCGUCAUCUCCCUCCAAAAAAAGUUAAGCUAGAUCUCUUAUAUUUCUCUGGCUUCACUGCCUGCUGUACAGUAUGUGGUGGUUUUGAUGUUUUUUGGAGCUUUUAGCCCUGCAGCUCUGUACUGCCGUUCCUCUGUCUGGGUGUUA
Molecule: long non-coding RNA, 1964 nt
Organism: Sander lucioperca (pikeperch)
Lineage: Eukaryota; Metazoa; Chordata; Actinopteri; Perciformes; Percidae
Exons: 2
Source: RefSeq, a predicted model, not a curated record